RNAcentral lists this ribosomal RNA (126 nucleotides) under uncultured archaeon. RNAcentral's name for it is "partial 16S ribosomal RNA". The record is from RNAcentral.
AAAGCCCWUGUAUUACAUGAGCACUUKGRGUUCCCYUAUCACACUUUCGUGCAUUGUAAAGUUUUCGCGCCUGCUGCGCCCCGUGGGGCGGGGGCGGCGGGACGGGCGCGGGGCGCGGCGGGCGCG